RNAcentral lists this ribosomal RNA (374 nucleotides) under uncultured eukaryote. Its description in RNAcentral is "partial 18S ribosomal RNA". It matches the Rfam family "Eukaryotic small subunit ribosomal RNA", at positions 592 to 975 of the family's 1831-position model. The record is from RNAcentral.
CAAUAGCGUAUAUUUAAGUUGUUGUAGUUAAAAAGCUCGUAGUUGGAUUUCGGUUAAGAGCGACCGGUCCGCCGUUUGGUGUGCACUGGUUGGUUUUAACUUCCUGUAGAGGACGUGCUCUGGGUUUAACGACCUGGACUCGGAGUCUACGUGGUUACUUUGAAAAAAUUAGAGUGUUCAAAGCGGGCUUACGCUUGAAUAUUUCAGCAUGGAAUAACACUAUAGGACUCCUGUCCUAUUUCGUUGGUCUCGGGACGGGAGUAAUGAUUAAGAGGAACAGUUGGGGGCAUUCGUAUUUCAUUGUCAGAGGUGAAAUUCUUGGAUUUAUGAAAGACGAACUUCUGCGAAAGCAUUUGCCAAGGAUGUUUUCAUUA